This 431-nucleotide ribosomal RNA is filed under the name uncultured bacterium. RNAcentral's name for it is "partial 16S ribosomal RNA". It matches the Rfam family "Bacterial small subunit ribosomal RNA", at positions 29 to 507 of the family's 1533-position model. The record is from RNAcentral.
AACGAACGCUGGCGGCAGGCCUAACACAUGCAAGUCGAGCGCCCCGCCAGGGGAGCGGCGGCCGGGUGAGUAACGCGUGGGAAUAUGCUCUUUGCUACGGAAUAGUCCUGGGAAACUGGGGGUAAUACCGUAUACGCCCUCUGGGGGAAAGAUUUAUCGGCGAAGGAUUAGCUCGCGUUGGAUUAGGUAGUUGGUGGGGUAAUGGCCUACCAAGCCGACGAUCCAUAGCUGGUUUGAGAGGAUGAUCAGCCACACUGGGACUGAGACACGGCCCAGACUCCUACGGGAGGCAGCAGUGGGGAAUCUUAGACAAUGGGGGCAACCCUGAUCUAGCCAUGCCGCGUGAGUGAUGAAGGCCUUAGGGUUGUAAAGCUCUUUCAGCUGGGAAGAUAAUGACGGUACCAGCAGAAGAAGCCCCGGCUAACUCCGUG